Molecule: long non-coding RNA, 1589 nt
Filed under: Homo sapiens (human)
Lineage: Eukaryota; Metazoa; Chordata; Mammalia; Primates; Hominidae
Description: non-protein coding LINC00029:9
Source: RNAcentral
UGAGCCGCAAAGAGGGGGACCUCGAAGAAAGCAGCACCUUCCGCUCCCGCCGAGUCAGCUGCCACCUUCUCUGUGUCCCUGUGUCCUCCUGCUCUGCCCUGCCCUCAGCCAGCUGCCAUCUUCUCUGUGUCCCCGUGUCCUCCUGCUCUGCCCUGCCCUCGCCAGCUGAUACCUUCUCUGUGUCCCUGUGUCCUCCCGCUCUGCCCUGCCCUCCAGGGACAGAAGCCCUCGAGGUUCUGGCUGGGCCCACGUGCUGAGAUGCCUCUGAGAAAGCUGUCUUUCCAUGGUGGAUCCCGCUGGAUGCCCGUGAACACGGGGCCAGCUUGCAGAGAGCUGGAAGGAGGCCUCCUGGCGGCACCCAGGCCUGACACAGGAUGGCACAGCAGAUGCAACCGUGGGCCUGGGGCCUGGGGUUCCUGGUUGGUGGCCAGGAGAGGCGGCCAGAAGACUCCAUGGCUCCCAGGGCCCAGUCGCAGCUGAGAGGCUCCCCGUCACGAUGGCCAAUAGCCCUUUCUCCAAGGACAAGGAUGGGGUGAUGGCACAACAUGUGUGGGUCGAGCACACCUACCCAUGUGCACACAUGGGUGUGCAUGUCCUGCUGGUGGCUGACCCGUGACCCUGCAUGCGUGUCCUGCGGGUGGCUGACCCGUGACCCUGCAUGCGUGUCCUGCUGGUGGCUGACCCGUGACCCUGCAUGCGUGUCCUGCUGGUGGCUGACCCGUGACCCUGCAUGCGUGUCCUGCGGGUGGCUGACCCCUGACCCUGCAUGCGUGUCCUGCGGGUGGCUGACCCGUGACCCUGCAUGCGUGUCCUGCGGGUGGCUGACCCGUGACCCUGCAUGCGUGUCCUGCGGGUGGCUGACCCGUGACCCUGCAUGCGUGUCCUGUGGGUGGCUGACCCGUGACCCUGCAUGCGUGUCCUGCUGGUGGCUGACCCGUGACCUUGCAUGCGUGUCCUGCGGGUGGGUGACCUGUGACCCUACAAGCAUGUCCUGCUCACGGGCACACCGUCUGCCUGUGCACAGGCCUCUGCCUGCCCACCUGGCGGAGUCCUGCCUGGAUGCUUUAGCGUCUCCAGCCUCUGUGCGCUUUGCUUCUUUGCUCGGAUUUCAUUUCUGAUUGCGGAAUUUUACUCUCAAACCAAAAGAUGCUACAUGCCGCUCCUGACGCCGUGGCACGGAAUCACGCUGCGCGUCCCUUGUUUCCGGAUUUCUCUUCUGUGGCUUAUUGAUGGCACUCAAGCACCGCACAGCAAUGACGUCUGUCCUGGCAGGGCACACGCACUCUGCGUCUGAAUGAGUAUUGAGCUAAUUCCAAAGCCCAGCAGAGACGUGGGCGCGCGUUUAUCUGGAGGAGACCAGGCGCGCCAUGGUUGGCUCUGGCCGCGGGACCCUGGGCUGAGCACCGACCCAGGCCACCCCAAGUCACCAAAAGAGGGUAGGGAGGGGUGGACAAAAGUAUUUAUUUUGCCUAUUUUCUUGCCAGUGUCCAGAUUCAAAUGUACUGUUUUUAAACUACAUUAGCACUUUCUGCCCUGUGGCCUGCAAUGAUUGUGCUGUGAUUAUUCAACACCAUAAAUAAUAAUGCAGC